CCGCCAUCCUGGGCCCCACAUGUUGCCUGACCAUUCCUGAGCCCAGUGUCCAUGAAACUGGGAGGUGACCGUGUUAGCUGCCAGUUCCUGACAGCCACCUCUCACCAGUGGCUUCACUCUGUGUCCCUGACCCAGCACAUGGCACAAGAGUGCCUGCCAUCCCUCAGUGUUUCUACAGCAGCAAUCCCGAGAUGCUGGAGCUAGAGGGGACCUGACCUGAGAGAAGAUACCUUCAGUGGCUGCCAGGCUGUUCCUUGGAACCUGUGCAGGGAUGAGGCCUGCCUGUGUUAAUACACCUAGUGAGGAGUGGAGCUGAAUUUGAAUGCAAGCCUUGGCACCUUAAUUGAGCAAGUUUGAAACCUCGCUUGUUGCCCUUCUGGAAGGAGUCAGGAAUUUCCAGUUCUGGGCCUGGGGCUGUGGGUCUGACAGACAGACCUCUGGCCCUAGGUUUGGGUGCCAGGUUCUCUGCUUCCAGAAUGAGAAGCUUUGCUGUGCACCAGGACCUGGGCC
RNAcentral lists this long non-coding RNA (510 nucleotides) under Pan troglodytes (chimpanzee). Its description in RNAcentral is "lincRNA". The record is from RNAcentral. Lineage: Eukaryota; Metazoa; Chordata; Mammalia; Primates; Hominidae.